Molecule: ribosomal RNA, 261 nt
Filed under: uncultured bacterium
Lineage: Bacteria
Description: partial 16S ribosomal RNA
Rfam family: Bacterial small subunit ribosomal RNA
Source: RNAcentral
GUCCACGCUGUAAACGAUGAGCGCUAGGUGUCGGGUCGAGAGAUUCGGUGCCGGAGCAAACGCAAUAAGCGCUCCACCUGGGGAGUACGAUCGCAAGAUUGAAACUCAAAGGAAUUGACGGGGGCCCCGCACAAGCGGUGGAGUAUGUGGUUUAAUUCGAAGCAACGCGAAGAACCUUACCAAGGCUUGACAUCCCAAUGAAAAGUGUAGAGAUACACUCGCUCUUCGGAGCAUUGGAGACAGGUGGUGCAUGGUUGUCGU